GGAGGAAAGUAGGGGAUCGAAAGACCUUGCGCUUAAGGAGCGGCCGAUGCCUGAUUAGCUAGUUGGUGGGGUAAAGGCCUACCAAGGCAACGAUCAGUAGUUGGUCUGAGAGGACGACCAACCACACUGGGACUGAGACACGGCCCAGACUCCUACGGGAGGCAGCAGUGGGGAAUUUUGGACAAUGGGCGCAAGCCUGAUCCAGCCAUGCCGCGUGAGUGAAGAAGGCCUUCGGGUUGUAAAGCUCUUUCAGUUGGGAAGAAACGAUUGCAACUAAUAAUUGUAAUUAAUGACGGUACCGACAGAAGAAGCACCGGCUAACUACGUGCCAGCAGCCGCGGUAAUACGUAGGGUGCGAGCGUUAAUCGGAAUUACUGGGCGUAAAGGGUGCGCAGGCGGUUUUGUAAGUCAGAUGUGAAUSCCCGGGCUUAACCUGGAAUGCGUUUGAAACUACAAAGCUAG
Molecule: ribosomal RNA, 462 nt
Filed under: uncultured bacterium
Lineage: Bacteria
Description: bacterial SSU rRNA
Rfam family: Bacterial small subunit ribosomal RNA
Source: RNAcentral